This 484-nucleotide ribosomal RNA is filed under the name uncultured bacterium. RNAcentral describes it as "partial 16S ribosomal RNA". It matches the Rfam family "Bacterial small subunit ribosomal RNA", at positions 30 to 507 of the family's 1533-position model. The record is from RNAcentral.
AUUGAACGCUGGCGGCAGGCCUAACACAUGCAAGUCGAGCGGAUGAAGGGAGCUUGCUCCUGGAUUCAGCGGCGGACGGGUGAGUAAUGCCUAGGAAUCUGCCUGGUAGUGGGGGAUAACGUCCGGAAACGGGCGCUAAUACCGCAUACGUCCUGAGGGAGAAAGUGGGGGAUCUUCGGACCUCACGCUAUCAGAUGAGCCUAGGUCGGAUUAGCUAGUUGGUGGGGUAAAGGCCUACCAAGGCGACGAUCCGUAACUGGUCCGAGAGGAUGAUCAGUCACACUGGAACUGAGACACGGUCCAGACUGCUACGGGAGGCAGCAGUGGGGAAUAUUGGACAAUGGGCGAAAGCCUGAUCCAGCCAUGCCGCGUGUGUGAAGAAGGUCUUCGGAUUGUAAAGCACUUUAAGUUGGGAGGAAGGGCAGUAAGUUAAUACCUUGAUGUUUUGACGUUACCAACAGAAUAAGCACCGGCUAACUUCGUG